This is a long non-coding RNA of Hordeum vulgare subsp. vulgare (domesticated barley), 207 nucleotides long. RefSeq lists it as uncharacterized. The record is from RefSeq and is a predicted model, not a curated record. The transcript is spliced from 3 exons. NCBI's taxonomy places the organism in Eukaryota, Viridiplantae, Streptophyta, Magnoliopsida, Poales, Poaceae.
CAACAAAUGGCGCUGCAAGAGGGCCUGCUGGUGGGGCUAUCAUCAGGAGCCAACACGGUGGCAGCGAUUGAACUUGCAAAGAGGCCCGAAAACAAAGGGAAGCUCAUCGUGACUGUUCAUCCGAGCGCGGGGGAGCGAUACUUAUCGUCGACGCUGUUCCAGGGUCUGAGGAAGGAGACGGAGGCUAUGCAGCCAGUGCCAGUGGAC